This 379-nucleotide unclassified non-coding RNA is filed under the name soil metagenome. Its description in RNAcentral is "partial contains 5.8S ribosomal RNA, internal transcribed spacer 2, and large subunit ribosomal RNA". The stretch from base 1 to 120 matches the Rfam family "5.8S ribosomal RNA", at positions 35 to 154 of the family's 154-position model. The record is from RNAcentral.
GAUGAAGAACGUAGUGAAAUGCGAUAAGUAAUGUGAAUUGCAGAAUUCAGUGAAUCAUCGAAUCUUUGAACGCACCUUGCACCCUUUGGCAUUCUGAAGGGUAUGCUCGUUUGAGUGUCAUUGUACUCUCACACUCCCGAUCUUUGCAUUGGGAGCAGUGGACUUGGGUUUGCUGCUUCACCGUCGCUUACCUCAAAUAGGUUAGUGCAACUCUUGGUUGGACAUAGUACGGCGUGAUAAGUGUUCUUCGCCGGUGCCUCGCAAAGAGGGUGGCCGAUCGGGAUGUUGUGCUCCAAACCGUCUUCGGACAAUCUCUGACGACUUGACCUCAAAUCGAGUAAGACUACCCGCUGAACUUAAGCAUAUCAAUAGCGGAGGA